CCCCUCCGCUCCUAGCGCGCGGGAGUCGGGAUUGUGCUUGCACGACUUCCCCCGGCCCGCGGCCUGUGAGCCCAGGUCCUGGGGUGAACCGAGCGCUCGCUCGUUCGUCAGACCGUAGCGCUCCAGCGGCUGUCCUUACUGUGUAGUAGCCAAAGCUGAGGGUGAUGACUGUGAACCAGAACAGACUGCCUCGCUGAAAAGUCACUUGGAACUCUUCUGUGGCAUCUGAAGCAGAUGGACGAAGCCAAGAGGGCCGAGAGUAUCUCAGCACCUAGAAAUGGACAAGGCUGGUUAUUAGAACAAAGAUUUCGCAGGUGGUGAGUCUCAAAGGCGAAGCUGAAUGGAUCUCCCAUUAACCAGUCAUAAUGAAGUAAGAACAAGAAGAUGGGGAAGAGGAAGUGUAAAACCGUGGCUUAAAUUUGCCAAGGAUAAGCUGAGUGUACUUCAGCAGUCAUUUGCACAGAAUCCUUAUCCUAAUUUUACAACCAGGGAAAAACUGGCUGGACAGUCUCUUGUCCUGUGUUUGUAAUUGAUAACUGGUUUCAAAAUAAAAGCCAGACCACCACUUAGAGAGAGACACAGAAUGUUCACUGCCAGGGAACUGCAUGAUUCCUCUGCCAAAGGCCACCCAUUUACAAGAAUCCAGGAAAACCAGGUGGAAUCUCCCAAUGAUGACCCUGAGCAGAACUUCUUGUACCCAGGAAGUUCUACUGGGUGGAGCUGGCCACUCUUCCGUGGAGACACAGGGGACUCCCAAUUAACAUGAUGGCUCAAAUAACUGUAGCCUUAUGGAUUAAAAGGAAACUAAGCUGUGAUUUGGAGUAUCCAGGUGAUACAGAAAAUGGCCCUUGUCGAUGUAGAUCAGCAUUAUUUCCUUAUCCUUCUGCAUCUCCUCCUCAGUAUUCUGAAAGGGACAAGCCUGAGAUGGGGGAAAGCCAGCAUGCAAGGCCCUCCCCUUUGUGCUGUGUUCAUGGUGUGCACGGAGAGAGGCAGCAGCAGGAGGAACAGAAAGGUUAUUUUCUUUACUGACUCUUUCAAGGACAUCAGCAGAAUGGUUGGGAAUGUCAUCAUGAGCAGCCUCAGCCUCAGAAUUACCAGGAGAAGCUGGUCUUCCAGGAUCAGGUUCUAAUGUAUAUGAGUCACAGGAUUUAGGGAAGCAGGCACUUUCCCUUCAGUCCCAGCAGCAUGGUUGAUGUUCCCAAGUAAUGGAGAGUCCCUGUGCUCUC
This 1226-nucleotide long non-coding RNA is filed under the name Homo sapiens (human). Its description in RNAcentral is "non-protein coding TMEM254-AS1:21". Lineage: Eukaryota; Metazoa; Chordata; Mammalia; Primates; Hominidae. The record is from RNAcentral.